Molecule: long non-coding RNA, 101 nt
Organism: Nomascus leucogenys (northern white-cheeked gibbon)
Lineage: Eukaryota; Metazoa; Chordata; Mammalia; Primates; Hylobatidae
Exons: 3
Source: RefSeq, a predicted model, not a curated record
CAAACUCUCAGUUCUUCACAUGGUUGGUUGGGCUUUUCACAGGCAGUAAGUCUGAGAAGUCAAACUUCUAACACAGUAGCUGGCUUCCCCCUGAAUGCAAA